RNAcentral lists this ribosomal RNA (468 nucleotides) under uncultured Comamonadaceae bacterium. RNAcentral describes it as "bacterial SSU rRNA". It matches the Rfam family "Bacterial small subunit ribosomal RNA", at positions 335 to 796 of the family's 1533-position model. Lineage: Bacteria; Pseudomonadati; Pseudomonadota; Betaproteobacteria; Burkholderiales; Comamonadaceae. The record is from RNAcentral.
GUCCUACGGGUGGCUGCAGUGGGGAAUUUUGGACAAUGGGGGCAACCCUGAUCCAGCCAUGCCGCGUGCGGGAAGAAGGCCUUCGGGUUGUAAACCGCUUUUGUCAGGGAAGAAAUCCUUUGGGUUAAUACCUCGGAGGGAUGACGGUACCUGAAGAAUAAGCACCGGCUAACUACGUGCCAGCAGCCGCGGUAAUACGUAGGGUGCGAGCGUUAAUCGGAAUUACUGGGCGUAAAGCGUGCGCAGGCGGUUAUGUAAGACAGAGGUGAAAUCCCCGGGCUCAACCUGGGAACUGCCUUUGUGACUGCAUAGCUGGAGUACGGCAGAGGGGGAUGGAAUUCCGCGUGUAGCAGUGAAAUGCGUAGAUAUGCGGAGGAACACCGAUGGCGAAGGCAGUCCCCUGGGCCUGUACUGACGCUCAUGCACGAAAGCGUGGGGAGCAAACAGGAUUAGAUACCCUAGUAGUCU